ACGCUUCUUUUUCCACCGGAGCUUGCUCCACCGGAAAAAGAGGAGUGGCGAACGGGUGAGUAACACGUGGGUAACCUGCCCAUCAGAAGGGGAUAACACUUGGAAACAGGUGCUAAUACCGUAUAACAAUCGAAACCGCAUGGUUUUGAUUUGAAAGGCGCUUUCGGGUGUCGCUGAUGGAUGGACCCGCGGUGCAUUAGCUAGUUGGUGAGGUAACGGCUCACCAAGGCCACGAUGCAUAGCCGACCUGAGAGGGUGAUCGGCCACAUUGGGACUGAGACACGGCCCAAACUCCUACGGGAGGCAGCAGUAGGGAAUCUUCGGCAAUGGACGAAAGUCUGACCGAGCAACGCCGCGUGAGUGAAGAAGGUUUUCGGAUCGUAAAACUCUGUUGUUAGAGAAGAACAAGGAUGAGAGUAACUGUUCAUCCCUUGACGGUAUCUAACCAGAAAGCCACGGCUAACUACGUGCCAGCAGCCGCGGUAAUACGUAGGUGGCAAGCGUUGUCCGGAUUUAUUGGGCGUAAAGCGAGCGCAGGCGGUUUCUUAAGUCUGAUGUGAAAGCCCCCGGCUCAACCGGGGAGGGUCAUUGGAAACUGGGAGACUUGAGUGCAGAAGAGGAGAGUGGAAUUCCAUGUGUAGCGGUGAAAUGCGUAGAUAUAUGGAGGAACACCAGUGGCGAAGGCGGCUCUCUGGUCUGUAACUGACGCUGAGGCUCGAAAGCGUGGGGAGCAAACAGGAUUAGAUACCCUGGUAGUCCACGCCGUAAACGAUGAGUGCUAAGUGUUGGAGGGUUUCCGCCCUUCAGUGCUGCAGCUAACGCAUUAAGCACUCCGCCUGGGGAGUACGACCGCAAGGUUGAAACUCAAAGGAAUUGACGGGGGCCCGCACAAGCGGUGGAGCAUGUGGUUUAAUUCGAAGCAACGCGAAGAACCUUACCAGGUCUUGACAUCCUUUGACCACUCUAGAGAUAGAGCUUCCCCUUCGGGGGCAAAGUGACAGGUGGUGCAUGGUUGUCGUCAGCUCGUGUCGUGAGAUGUUGGGUUAAGUCCCGCAACGAGCGCAACCCUUAUUGUUAGUUGCCAUCAUUCAGUUGGGCACUCUAGCAAGACUGCCGGUGACAAACCGGAGGAAGGUGGGGGAUGACGUCAAAUCAUCAUGCCCCUUAUG
RNAcentral lists this ribosomal RNA (1169 nucleotides) under Enterococcus faecium. Its description in RNAcentral is "bacterial SSU rRNA". It matches the Rfam family "Bacterial small subunit ribosomal RNA", at positions 66 to 1206 of the family's 1533-position model. Lineage: Bacteria; Bacillati; Bacillota; Bacilli; Lactobacillales; Enterococcaceae. The record is from RNAcentral.